CCCCUCUCAGGACAGCACCUGGAGAGUUGCCAGUACUCUACCAGUCUCAGUUAAGAGAGGGAGAGUCAAACAGAGACAUACCCAUUCUAUUCUUAGCUUAGGCAGUGGUUAGCAAGUGGAAGGCAAUCUGCUACAAGU
Small nucleolar RNA from Tachyglossus aculeatus (Australian echidna), 138 nucleotides. NCBI's taxonomy places the organism in Eukaryota, Metazoa, Chordata, Mammalia, Monotremata, Tachyglossidae. The record is from RefSeq and is a predicted model, not a curated record.